Molecule: long non-coding RNA, 961 nt
Organism: Homo sapiens (human)
Lineage: Eukaryota; Metazoa; Chordata; Mammalia; Primates; Hominidae
Source: Ensembl
CAAUUUAUAUUCUACUGGCAAUGUAUAAGAACAGCUAGCAACUGAGUAUUUUCACUGUGUAUUUUGUCUGUGUAAAAAGGCUGAUGCUAUGACUACAGAAAAACAUUUCAUGGGAAUGGUUCCUGCAAGCAUAGAAUACCAGUUAACAAAGAGUGAAGAGGACACUAUCAUCAUCAUCAUCAACAUCAUCAUCAUCAUCAUUAUUAUUUGCCUGAAGGCCCAGAGUACACCGUAAUGGAGUACUGCUGAUGGGAAAGGAAUUAGCAUUGACCUCUCAGGAGGUUAAUUUGGGAGUUUAGCUCAUGAUCUAGUAAUUCUGCUUCUGGAAGUUUAUGAGAAGGAAGUGCUCUAAUAUGUGCGCCUGUGUGAUCGCUGGGCUUUAGCAUUUUAGGGGUGAGCCAACUGUAUCUCAGAGGUGGCCAUGUCUUGCAUUGAGGAGAGAGAGCACCUGCGAGAACUUCCAUGCUAUAUUCUAUUUGGGAAGAACUUGAACCUUGCAUAACGUAAACGAAGAGAAUUAACAAGAAUUUGUGGCACCCCUUCUGUGUCAGUUCUUCUUCCAGAUAAUAGGAAUAUAGCAAUAAACAAAACAGACCAGGUUCCUGCCCUCAUGGGGGAAAGAGGCAAUCUAAAAAUGAAAAAUGGGCCAGGCGCGGUGGCCCACGCCUGUAAUCCCAGCACUUUCGGAGGCCAAGGUGGACGGAUUACCCAAGGUCAGGAGUUCAAGACCAGCCUGGCCAACAUGGCGAAACCCCAUCUCUACUAAAAAUACAAAAAUUAGCUGGGCGUGGUGGCACGUGCCUGUAAGGCCAGCUACUCGGGAGGCUGAGGCAGGAGAAUUGCUUGAACCCAGGAGGUGGAGGUUGUAGUGAGCUGAGAUUGUGCCAUUGCACUCCAGCCUGGACGACAGAGCGAGACUUCAUCUCAAAAUAAAUAAAUAAAUAAAUAUAAAGAUGAAAAA